ACAACUUAAUAAAUGUAAAUGUAACUCCCACUAAAAUUGACCUCGAUGCUUUCCGGCAUCUAUCGAAGGUUGCGGUGCUCCCAUUGGCACGCCAUGGUCCGAGCUCAUCAUGUUUUUUUUUUACAAGUGAGCUCGUUAUGGAUAAGCCCCACACAACACUGAUAGUGGUGACCUUGUUGCGUAGUGGCUCAACAACAUCAUCGAGUACCUUGGUGAUCGCAUCCUCAUUGACAAUCAUUAAGAAGCCGCAACCAUGGAAGACACUGAUCUCCGUGU
Molecule: long non-coding RNA, 276 nt
Filed under: Sorghum bicolor (sorghum)
Lineage: Eukaryota; Viridiplantae; Streptophyta; Magnoliopsida; Poales; Poaceae
Description: long non-coding RNA (SBIC_LNC016717)
Source: RNAcentral